UCAUAUGUAGAGAUACUGAUGAUGAAAAUUAUGAGCAAUACACACAGUCAUAGUUCUGGUUUUGGCCAUUUGAGUUCACUCGAAGAUAUCUUUUUUUAGAUUAAAAAAUGCUCUCUCUUUCAUGAUAUCGGAUUUUUGGUUCCUUGUUCUAUAUUGUAAUUUCUUUAUCUUUUCUCUCUUUCUCUCCUGCAUUAGGUGUGCACUUCAUUGAGGCACUUCAUUUCCAAAGCAUCUGGUCCAAGUUUUUGAACUGGCCAGCAACAACUACCACCAACGCUCCCACAUAUUUCUGUUUAGAAGGGGGGACAUGAUCAAAGAUAUGUCCAAGUUUGAUUGCGUAAAAGGACACACAUAUGGAAAAUGCAAUGUAUUACCUUUCAAGUCAACUUGUUGUUACAAACAAACUAGGGGUAGAACACUAUCUCCAACUUGUGUUAUUGAUGGUGCCACUUUUCAAGAAGACACUCGUUGAAACUGUUCAUGAGAAUAUGUCUUCUCAGGUACAGAUGUCAACCUCUCAACCCCACAGCCCGUGUCUUUCACCAAUCCCUGCAACUGCAUUUUUCUAUGAUUUAGUGAUGUAGUCAUACAAACUUCAUGCAAAACAAUUUUCAAUCAGAGUUGUUUAUUUUCUUCUUUUAUUGUACCUUCAUUACAAUCAGAUGCAUACCUCACACCCAAAUGGAUAGCCACCCAUUAUAAGCUUGUUUGAGUUGUCCAUAGAAUUGCAGGACAUCUCUGCUGCCAUGCUCUCAGUAUUUUUCAAUGCCCUAUCACUAGCCUGCAUGCAAACAAAAUUUUUCUUAUUCAGCCAGCAUCUAAACUUUAAGAAUACAUGCAUAGCAAUUCAGUUAUUUUCUUUUUUUAAUUUACACUGUGUCUUUUCAAAAUUACACUGUUUUUUCAAGAGUACUGUCUACAAGUUUUUUUUUCAGAUCUACAAGGUUAUUACUCUACGAUUCUGAUUGGAUAUUUCUAUCAUUCCUAUCUGAUUGGAUCUCUUUUU
RNA transcript from Panicum virgatum (switchgrass), 1006 nucleotides. RefSeq lists it as uncharacterized. Lineage: Eukaryota; Viridiplantae; Streptophyta; Magnoliopsida; Poales; Poaceae. The transcript is spliced from 3 exons. The record is from RefSeq and is a predicted model, not a curated record.